Molecule: non-coding RNA, 697 nt
Organism: Misgurnus anguillicaudatus (oriental weatherfish)
Lineage: Eukaryota; Metazoa; Chordata; Actinopteri; Cypriniformes; Cobitidae
Source: RefSeq, a predicted model, not a curated record
UAUCUUGUUUAAAUAAAUUAUAAUCACAAAGUGCCCAGUGUGAUUGCAAAGCCACACUGCAUUUUAGUCAUUAUUUCAACCUGUUUUAUUAUUGAAUGUAUGCAUAUAAAUGUAAAACAGAUACAUAUCCGGUCACCAUUUAGGUCUGAGUUGGAUGUAAUUUCAAAAACUGUGCUUCCAAUAUUAUUUUAAGAAAUAUAUUACAAAAUCCCGCGAUAGGACAGAUCUCGCGAGAUAGUGGUCACGUCACGCGUUCUUCCGGAAGUUCACAUUCAAACACGAGGAGCGAUUACGAUGGAGUUUUGUCUAUAUAUCAUUCAAAAUCUACUGUUGGGAAAAGCAGAACCUCAUCCAAAUAAAAAUAAACAAGCUGUUAAAGGCACUGUGUCCUACACAGACCCUCCAAAAUAUAACCACCCAAAACCCAAGUCAGUUGAAGGUCAACACAAACCAAAUAAAGAUGUGCAUUCUACAAACAAAAAAAAAGAUCAAGUUUUGUGUCCACCACACUUAGAUGAGGCGUGCCCGACCCCUGACUUUGUCUACCCUACAUUAAGUUGCACACUUCAUGACAGUAAACAUCGGUAUCACAAUGGUGUGAUUGAUCUAGCAGUGACACUAUGAGACGUACGUGCUACUGAUGCUUUUUUUCGGGUCACAUAAUGAACAGCCAUCUUACAGACAAUCGAAAGAGGCA